Prosopis cineraria is the source of this 1143-nucleotide long non-coding RNA. RefSeq lists it as uncharacterized. Lineage: Eukaryota; Viridiplantae; Streptophyta; Magnoliopsida; Fabales; Fabaceae. The record is from RefSeq and is a predicted model, not a curated record. The transcript is spliced from 7 exons.
UCGAACGCAAAAAAGAUCCCUUUUUCGGAAUCACUGUCCUCUCUCCCGAGAAAACCCAGAACACAUCUUCUUUCAGUGAGAUCUAUUUCAAAAUCACCCUUCGUCUCCUCAUAUCCUUCCAUUGUGCCAAGUCAUUUUCUUCCAUUCUUCCAGCAACCUCAUUGUGAAAUCGUUUGAUCUGGUCGCUGCCUACUUCUUCUCCUCUUUAAUCUUAUUGAUUUCAUCAUUCUCUUCGAUCUAGAUUUUUUUUCCUCUGUUGUUGGUCGCUUAUUGCAAAGCCACGAUCGUCUUCUUACCAAUUUUUGUUUAAGCUCUAUCUACCUGAGUAUGGAUGCUUUUGACUCGGCCAUUGCCAGCUCUUUGUUUCUGGUCAUCGGAGAAAACAUGGUCGAGUCAACUUCUCUAACGCGCGAGUAUUAUUUGCUUAAGCAACCCUUGCCGAGUCACCUUCUCUGAUGCGUGAGAAUUAUAAAGGCGCGCAUCUUCUUGUUCUACCAUUGUUUCAUCGUCUUUUUGCUCUCAUUCUCUUUCUUAUGAGUUCAUCGUUGCCACAUGUAUGAUGUAGUCAACAUAUUGGAGAGUGGUGGACAAGAUAAGGGGAAACCCUAUACCUAUGGAAAGGUUUUAGAGAAAUUCCUCGAGCUUUGAACAAGCUUAAGGAAGAGGGUGUGAGAGAAAAUUUGAUGUAGCCUACUGCAAGUCAGCUGAAAAUGACCAACCAGCAAAUUAAUGGCUGCUCAUCUGUAUAAUAAGAUUGUUGAUUCCCCAAUCCUCUGUUGAAGAAUCAGGAAGAAUGUCGAUGAAAACGUGGCUGAGAAUUUUCCAGAUUUUCUAAGGUAAACUCAUCAACAUUGUUUUGAAUAGAACUUGCCAUUUUGAAAACACCUUGAUGACUGGAAGUGGUGCUCAAUCUUGAAGGUUUGAUUUGGAAGAGCUCUUUCUCCAUCCACGGAAGUCAUUUGGAGUAAUCCAUCUCAAGCUUUUACAUUCCUCUCAUGUUUUAACACUUGUAUUUCUUUAGGGUUCAUAAACUGGUGUAAUUGACUUCUAUUUUUUCCUUUGCAACUAUUUUUUGUCUCUACAACCUUUUGUGAAGUGACAUCUUGCACAUUAUUUAAUUGAGGUUCAUCAUAUUUGGCCAAA